AGCGGGAAAAGCUCAAAUUUGUAAUCUGGCGUCUACGACGUCCGAGUUGUAAUCUCGAGAAGUGUUUUCCGUGAUAGACCGCAUACAAGUCUCUUGGAACAGAGCGUCAUAGUGGUGAGAACCCAGUACACGAUGCGGAUGCCUAUUACUUUGUGAUACACUUUCGAAGAGUCGAGUUGUUUGGGAAUGCAGCUCAAAUUGGGUGGUAAAUUCCAUCUAAAGCUAAAUAUUGGCGAGAGACCGAUAGCGAACAAGUACCGUGAGGGAAAGAUGAAAAGCACUUUGGAAAGAGAGUUAACAGUACGUGAAAUUGUUGGAAGGGAAACACAUGCAGCCAGACUUGCUAUUCGGGGCAACUCGAUUGGCAGGCCCGCAUCAGUUUUUCGGGGCGGAAAAUCAUAGAGAGAAGGUAGCAAUUUCGGUUGUGUUAUAGCUCUUUAUUGGAUUCGCCCUGGGGGACUGAGGAACGCAGCGUGCUUUUAGCAUAAGCUUCGGCUUAUCCACGCUUAGGAUGCGGGUGUAAUGGCUGUAUAUGACCCGUCUUGAAACACGGACC
Molecule: ribosomal RNA, 556 nt
Filed under: Sporobolomyces roseus
Lineage: Eukaryota; Fungi; Basidiomycota; Microbotryomycetes; Sporidiobolales; Sporidiobolaceae
Description: eukaryotic LSU rRNA
Rfam family: Eukaryotic large subunit ribosomal RNA
Source: RNAcentral